GACGAACGCUGGCGGCGUGCUUAACACAUGCAAGUCGAGCGGUAAGGCCCUUUCGGGGGUACGCGAGCGGCGAACGGGUGAGUAACACGUGGGUGACCUGCCCUCAGUUCUGGGAUAAGCCUGGGAAACCGGGUCUAAUACUGGAUAUGACCUCAUGACGCAUGUUGUGGGGUGGAAAGCCUUGUGCGACUGAGGAUGGGCCCGCGGCCUAUCAGCUUGUUGGUGGGGUGAUGGCCUACCAAGGCGACGACGGGUAGCCGGCCUGAGAGGGCGACCGGCCACACUGGGACUGAGACACGGCCCAGACUCCUACGGGAGGCAGCAGUGGGGAAUCUUGCGCAAUGGGCGAAAGCCUGACGCAGCGACGCCGCGUGAGGGAUGACGGCCUGUU
Molecule: ribosomal RNA, 391 nt
Filed under: uncultured bacterium
Lineage: Bacteria
Description: bacterial SSU rRNA
Rfam family: Bacterial small subunit ribosomal RNA
Source: RNAcentral